UACGUAGGGCGCAAGCGUUGUCCGGAAUUAUUGGGCGUAAAGAGCUCGUAGGCGGCUUGUCACGUCGGGUGUGAAAGCCCGGGGCUUAACCCCGGGUCUGCAUUCGAUACGGGCUAGCUAGAGUGUGGUAGGGGAGAUCAGAAUUCCUGGUGUAGCGGUGAAAUGCGCAGAUAUCAGGAGGAACACCGGUGGCGAAGGCGGAUCUCUGGGCCAUUACUGACGCUGAGGAGCGAAAGCGUGGGGAGCGAACAGG
This 253-nucleotide ribosomal RNA is filed under the name uncultured bacterium. RNAcentral describes it as "partial 16S ribosomal RNA". It matches the Rfam family "Bacterial small subunit ribosomal RNA", at positions 524 to 776 of the family's 1533-position model. The record is from RNAcentral.